GGGGUUGUUGUUAAUGUAGGGAUUUUUAAAAUCUGUACUACAACACAAUGUUUAUCCACAAAUCAUUGAAUUAAGAAACAAUAGAAUCACACAAAAACAAGAUGAAAGUGGUGAAAAGUGUUUAUUGUCCUGCAAGCUAUGUACAUAUCAGCAUGCAUGCAUAAAAAAUAAUAUAUAUUAAAAUUAUAUCAAAUUAUUUUUGACUGAUUUUUUUUUACUAGCUUCUUUUCACAUGUGUUUGUUUUUUUGGAUUCCUAUAUUUAAUAACUAUUAAAGGAUGAAUGAAUCAGUGUGAGAGGGUAGUAUAUGUACAUGUAUGUAUGUGACAAAAACCGAAUAACAAAUAUAAAAAAAAUAAUGAUAUAUAUUUAUUCAUGUAAUUAUGCAACUAUAAGAACCAUUAUGUGGGUGGGGGUAGGGUGUGUGUUACAGGUUGAUGUAUAUCAUUAAUUUCUCUAAAUUUAAGCUGAAUGGAUUAUAAAAUUCAGAUGGUUUAACGUGACACAAAAUCUGAUGAUUUAUUUGCAUGCACACAGGUACUAAAGUGUAUUAGUGUGACAUACAUGUAUAUACCAAUUACCAAAGCUUGAUAAUGAAUACAACGCCCAUUUCAUUACAGAUUUGGAAAAUAAUUAUAGUCAAAUCACCCCUACUGCAAGCCAAUUAUCAGACUGUAUCAAUCUCAGCUGAGUCCAAGAUAGGAAGAGGCUUUGGAGAGAACACAGAAUUACUACAGACAAAAGACUUGUGAAGUUAUAAGGGGAAUUGCAGAACUCAUAGCUCCACUUCAAUCUAGAUAUGUUGACAGUUAUUUCACAGAAACACUUUGCAGCUGAAAAAGAUAAUCAAAUGAUGACCACUACUUUAACUCUAUGGUUGCAGCAUAUUUCAAUUUUUGAAGUGACAAAUUUUAUUCCUGUUUGUGAACCAAUAUUCAAAAGAAACACUGCUAUGGCAUUAGACAUAAAUUAGAAGAGAGUGGUGGGGUGGCAAAAUAAGAUUCCAUACUGUGAAAUGUAUCAAUUGUUAAUAUACAUGUAUCAAUAUAAAUUCAGUGCCAAUUUUCAUAAUUUCUAGGGGAAAAGUUUGUUUGUAACAAAUGUCAGAAAUAUGUACUAGCUCUUACUUUGCAAACCAUGCUACUAAGUACCAGGCAUUAAGACAUGAUUUGUUUAUUGUCAUUUGUUAAACAGAGACAGAUCCAGUGAUUUGAAAGGGGGGGGGGGGGGGGUCCAGAAAAAUGAUCUAAAAUCUGCAUUAGGUCAUAUCCAUGAAUUGAUAAAGUAAAUAUGUUUAUUAUUGAUUGCUAGUUACAUGUAACCUUUUAUGCAUCAGUUGAAGAUACUUUAUGAACAUUUUCUGUCACUGGGUAAAAUUCAACAAACAUUUUGUGUAUCUGGAAGUGGUCAAUAUAUAUUUCAACAUCAGAGUAAACAUGCAUUAAAGCAAGUCUGCCAAUCUGAUGUAAGCAGAAAAUGGAAUAUGGCAUGUUAUUUCAUGAAUGAAAUGCUUUACAAGAGAGUCAAAAAAUUUCUGGUUAAUGCUAUUAAAUAACUAUCUAGAUGUCCCAGAGAAAAGGAGAGGGUGUUUUCUACCCCUCCCCCCAACCCCCUCGGGAUCUGCCAAUGUCAAGUUUGUAAUGUGAGUGAAUGAUUUUAGAUUCUUCAUGAUAGGCAAUUUAUUAAAAUUUGAUUUACUGAUAAUUUUAACUUCAUAUAUGUGUGUUAAUUAAUGGACUAUUAUCUCAAAUCCUGUGUCAGAAAUGACCUCUAAAAAUCAACAUUGUAAAAUUUUAUACAAUGAAUUACAUAGGCAUUUUUUUUUUGCCUUUAUUAUAUAGAAUGUAUACAAAGACAUGAAAUUUAUUUCUGAAUGUUCAUAUGUUCUAGUAAUUUUUCAUGAAUUUUAAUCAUUUAAUCAUUGAUUUGUUAUAUCUACUUCAUAUUUAUUUCUAUUUAUGUAGUUCAACAAUCUUCAUUUAAGUAGUUGACCUUUUUGCACUUAUUGAAAAUUUUGAGAUUUCAGUUCAACUUUUCACCAUCAAACCUUGCUUUUCCCACUGAAUUUAUUUUUGUAACUUGAAAUACACCUCUUCAAGUUUCUGGUUAUACAUAAUUUAUUUCUUUUGAGACAUUGUAUUGGGUUUUGUGAGAUCUUAUAUUUUGAUCAUUAUUUUGUAAAAUAUAUUGGUGUGAAAUAUGUGCAAUUUUAACAAUUAAUAAAUUCAUUCAUUGGAUGAAUAUACACACAAAAACCCUCUUAGUUAUUGCAUAUAGUGUAUAUCUAACAUAUAAAAUAUUGCUUUUCUCUAUUUUUUAGUUAUAUGACAUUUUAGAGCUGUUCAAACAUAGCACUUUUUUCCAAUAUUUCGUGACCUUUUUGCACCGAAAAUUAUCUCAAAGUUGUUUUUCCAUGUCGAACCCAAACAUGAUAGAAACUUUUUAUUUGGCAAAUUUCAUAUUGGGGUCAGUAGGAACCUGUGCACAAAGUUUCAUGAAAAUCUGAGAGAUAGCAUGUGCCGACCUCUGCCUGAUAUCAUAAUGGACACCCUCUUAAGACGACCUAGAAUUAUCCGUGAUAUAUUAGAUCAUUUUCUUUUUUAUGAUGAGGAGGGUUUUCGUGUGGGAUUUCGUUUUUGUAAACGCGAUACUCUCCGUAUAAUGGACAUGCUUGGAAAUCGUCUGGAACCAAAUCAGAGAAAACUAAUGUCCUCAGCUUUUGAUAACCUUAAGAUGUUUUGCUACAGGAGCAUUUCAGCAAGUGGAUGGAGGGUAUAUUAACUAUCAAUUUGUUGAGGAAUGAUCUCGCUAACUGCGGAGGAGAGCUUGUCAAUUGUCCUUUCUAAAACACCGCCACCAGUUUUUGAUCUCUCUCGAUCUCUCUCUCUUUGUUCCUUCGCCACAGCAGACUUGCUUCUUGAUUUGAAGUUUUUCCAUAAUGAUUUUAGCUGAGUGGAUGUCCUGAUGUUUACACCAUUUCUACUGUUAAAUUCCUUAGCUAGGUUUUCCCAUUCCAAAUUUUUUUUGUUAAUCAUUUUGACAUCAGUAGCUUUGUUUUCAUUUAUAUCCUUUUUUGACCCAACUAAAUCAAUAAGGGUACACAUUUCUAGUUCUGUAAAAUUUGGACCAUCAUUCCCAGCCAUUGUAAUACCAAAUGAAAAAAAGCAAACAGAACAUGAGUUCAGGUAAAACCAGUUUUAUUUUAAGUGUGAAACACUGGUGAGGUUUAUGUGAGCUCAGCUCAAAUAGGAUUUAAACCCGGUUUACCUGAACUAAGCUUAGUCCAUAAAUCUAGCUUACCUAAGACACAGGUGUGAAUAUGGGCAUACGACUUUCAAAAAAUUAAAUCCUUCCUUACUUAAAGAGGUUCGCACCUGACAUUUGGAGUAAUGUCAAUUUUUUGGAAAGUGUAUUUUUGAUUUCUACAUUGAAGGAGAAUUAGGAAAUUAAAAAGAAAAACGGGUCGCAACGCUUGUUACUGAGCUAUAGUGUUCUAAACAUGACCUUUUUGCACUUAAAAUUUAUUCAAUUAAACUUGAUUUUUCUGUUAGUGUCAACACAACAUAAGCAACACAAAUCAAUCAUUACAUAAAAUAGAUACAUAAUCAUGUCCUUUAACACUACAGAUGAAAAAAGAAAUGAAUACUAGUAAAGGAAAUAAUGACCUUUUUGCACUUGAUAUACGAAAAACUUCAUGAUAUUAAAAUUGAGAGUUUAAAAGGACAUAUUAGGAGUAAUGUCAAUUUCUAGAAUUUUACAUAAUUUUCAAGGUCUGAUCUUCCAAUUUAAAAUGCAACUUAAACAAGAGGCCCAUGGGCCACAUCGCUCACCUGAGUCACCUCGGUCCAUAUCAGAAGAUUUUCCAUAUCUAUUUGCAUGUAAAACCGUAGUCCCUAUUAUGGCCCCAAACCUUCCCCUGGAGGCCAUGGUUUUUGCAAACUUGAAUCUACACUAUGUCAGAAAGCUUUCAUGUAAAUGUGAACUUCUUUCGCCCAAUGGUUCUUGAGAAGAAGAUUUUUAAAGAUUUUCCCUAUAUAUUUGUAUGUAAAACUUUGAUCCCCUAUUGUGGCCCCAUCCUACCCCAAAGGGGGGGGGGGGGGCAUGAUUUUAACAAACCUGAAUCUGCACUAUAUCAGAAAGCUUUCAUAUAAAUCUCAGCUUUUCUGGCUAAGUGGUUCUGGGAAGAAGAUUUUUAAAGAUUUUUCCUAUAUAUUUGUAUGUAAAACUUUGACCCCCUAUUGUGGCCCCAUCCGACCCCCGGGGGCCAUGAUCUUAACAAUUUAUAAUCUGCACUAUAUCAGGAAGCUUUCAUAUAAACCUCAGCUUUUCUGGCUCAGUGGUUUUUGAGAAGAAGAUUUUAAAAUAUUUUUCCUAUAAAUUUGUAUGUAAAACUUUGAUGCCCCCCUUGAGGCCCCAUCCAAUCCCCGGGGUCCAUGAUUUUAACAAACUUGAAUCUGCACUAUAUCAACAAAACAAAACAAAAAAACGAAAAAAAAGAAGAACAAAAAAAAAACAAAAAAAAAAACUUUGACCCCCUAUUGUGGCCCCAUCCGACCCCCGGGGGCCAUGAGUUUAACAAUUUAGAAUCUGUACUAUAUCA
Long non-coding RNA from Ostrea edulis (European flat oyster), 4599 nucleotides. RefSeq lists it as uncharacterized. The record is from RefSeq and is a predicted model, not a curated record. Lineage: Eukaryota; Metazoa; Mollusca; Bivalvia; Ostreida; Ostreidae. The transcript has 2 exons.